UGAGGAAUUUUGCGCAAUGGGGGAAACCCUGACGCAGCAACGCCGCGUGAGUGAUGAAGGCUUUCGGGUCGUAAAGCUCUGUCAAGUGGGAAGAACCCAUAUGGUGUUAAUACCAUCAUAUGCUGACGGUACCACUGAAGGAAGCACCGGCUAACUCCGUGCCAGCAGCCGCGGUAAUACGGGGGGUGCGAGCGUUAUUCGGAAUUACUGGGCGUAAAGAGCGCGUAGGCGGUCUUUUAAGUCAGGUGUGAAAGCCCGGGGCUCAACCCCGGAAGUGCACUUGAAACUAAAAGACUUGAGUAUGGGAGAGGGAAGUGGAAUUCCUGGUGUAGCGGUGAAAUGCGUAGAUAUCAGGAGGAACAUCAGUGGCGAAGGCGACUUCCUGGACCAAUACUGACGCUGAGGCGCGAAGGCGUGGGGAGCAAACA
Molecule: ribosomal RNA, 428 nt
Filed under: uncultured bacterium
Lineage: Bacteria
Description: bacterial SSU rRNA
Rfam family: Bacterial small subunit ribosomal RNA
Source: RNAcentral